CCUACGGGUGGCAGCAGUGGGGAAUGUUGGACAAUGGGCGCAAGCCUGAUCCAGCUAUUCCGCGUGUGGGAUGACGGCCCUCGGGUUGUAAACCACUUUAGUAGAGAACGAAAAGGAGCGAGCGAAGAAAUAGCUCUGCUGACGGUACUCUAAGAAUAAGCACCGGCUAACUACGUGCCAGCAGCCGCGGUAAUACGUAGGGUGCGAGCGUUAAUCGGAAUUACUGGGCGAAAAGGGUGUGCAGGCGGCUGAGUAAGACAGAGGUGAAAUCCCCGGGCUUAACCUGGGAACCGCAUAUGUGACUGCUUAGCUAGAUUGCGUCAGAGGGAGGUGGAAUUCCACGUGUAGCUGUGAAAUGCGUAGAUAUGUGGAAGAACACCGCUGGCGCAGGCAGCCUCCUGGGACGCAACUGACGCUCCUCCAC
Molecule: ribosomal RNA, 424 nt
Filed under: uncultured bacterium
Lineage: Bacteria
Description: partial 16S ribosomal RNA
Rfam family: Bacterial small subunit ribosomal RNA
Source: RNAcentral